AGUCCAUGGUGUGGACAUUUCUGUAACAAAUCUCUAAACCUUUCCAAUGCUUCAUACAAUGAUUCCCUCUUUUGUUGACUAAAACCAGUAAUAUCCAUUCUAAACUU
Coffea eugenioides is the source of this 107-nucleotide small nucleolar RNA. Lineage: Eukaryota; Viridiplantae; Streptophyta; Magnoliopsida; Gentianales; Rubiaceae. The record is from RefSeq and is a predicted model, not a curated record.